GGGCGAAUUCCAAGCUUCAGGCCUAACACAUGCAAGUCGCGGGAGAAGCUAUCUUUCGGGUGGUGGAGACCGGCGCACGGGUGAGUAACGCGUGGGAACGUGCCCUUCGGUGGGGGACAACAGCUGGAAACGGCUGCUAAUACCGCAUACGUCCGGGAGGAGAAAGGCUCUUUUGAGAGAUCAUUUGGGCUGCCGGGGGAUUGGCCCGCGUUAGAUUAGGUAGUUGGUGGGGUAAUGGCCUACCAAGCCUUCGAUCUAUAGCUGGUCUGAGAGGAUGAUCAGCCACACUGGGACUGAGACACGGCCCAGACUCCUACGGGAGGCAGCAGUGGGGAAUAUUGCGCAAUGGAGGCAACUCUGACGCAGCCAUGCCGCGUGGGUGAAGAAGGCCUUCGGGUUGUAAAGCCCUUUCGACGGGGAAGAUGAUGACGGUACCCGUAGAAGAAGCCCCGGCUAACUUCGUGCCAGCAGCCGCGGUAAUACGAAGGGGGCAAGCGUUGUUCGGAAUUACUGGGCGUAAAGGGCGCGUAGGCGGAUGUAUUAGUUAGAGGUGAAAGCCUUGGGCUCAACCCAAGAAUUGCCUUUGAUACUAUAUAUCUA
Molecule: ribosomal RNA, 600 nt
Filed under: uncultured bacterium
Lineage: Bacteria
Description: bacterial SSU rRNA
Rfam family: Bacterial small subunit ribosomal RNA
Source: RNAcentral